RNAcentral lists this ribosomal RNA (111 nucleotides) under Achroceratosphaeria potamia. RNAcentral describes it as "partial small subunit ribosomal RNA". It matches the Rfam family "Eukaryotic small subunit ribosomal RNA", at positions 1352 to 1485 of the family's 1831-position model. The record is from RNAcentral. Lineage: Eukaryota; Fungi; Ascomycota; Sordariomycetes; Pisorisporiales; Pisorisporiaceae.
UAAAUAGCCCACGUUGCUUCGGCAGCGCGCUGGCUUCUUAGAGGGACUAUCGGCUCAAGCCGAUGGAAGUUUGAGGCAAUAACAGGUCUGUGAUGCCCUUAGAUGUUCUGG